AGAGAAGGCCGGACGGUCGCCGGCGCGGGACACACCCGCGCGGGAGGAAAGUCCGGGCUCCGCAGGGCAGGGUGCUGGCUAACGGCCAGGGGGGGCGACCCCACGGAUCAGUGCCACAGAAAGCAAACCGCCACGCGGCGCAGGCCGCGGGGUAAGGGUGAAACGGUGAGGUAAGAGCUCACCAGCGGCGCGGGUGACCGCGCUGGCUCGGUAAACCCCACCCGGAGCAAGGCCAAAUAGGAGAGCGAUCCCGGUGUCGCGUUCGCGCGGCGCACGGGUGAAGCGUGGCCCGCGUGGGGCUCUCGGGUAUGGCCGCUCGAGGCGCCGGGCAACCGGCGUCCUAGAGAAAUGACCGUCUCCCCGGCUUCGGGCAACCGUGACCGGGUGACAGGACCCGGCUUACAGGCCUUCUCUGGCG
RNAcentral lists this RNase P RNA (418 nucleotides) under Candidatus Rokubacteria bacterium GWA2_70_23. Its description in RNAcentral is "RNase P RNA component class A". It matches the Rfam family "Bacterial RNase P class A". From Rfam's summary of the family: Ribonuclease P (RNase P) is a ubiquitous endoribonuclease, found in archaea, bacteria and eukarya as well as chloroplasts and mitochondria. Its best characterised activity is the generation of mature 5'-ends of tRNAs by cleaving the 5'-leader elements of precursor-tRNAs. Cellular RNase Ps are ribonucleoproteins. The record is from RNAcentral. Lineage: Bacteria; Candidatus Rokuibacteriota. RNAcentral also lists the same sequence under 2 other names.